This 88-nucleotide small nuclear RNA is filed under the name Pteropus vampyrus (large flying fox). RNAcentral's name for it is "U4 spliceosomal RNA (ENSPVAG00000029095.1)". It matches the Rfam family "U4 spliceosomal RNA", at positions 1 to 83 of the family's 138-position model. From Rfam's summary of the family: U4 small nuclear RNA (U4 snRNA) is a component of the major U2-dependent spliceosome. The record is from RNAcentral. Lineage: Eukaryota; Metazoa; Chordata; Mammalia; Chiroptera; Pteropodidae.
CUCUAAAAGCAGUGGCUGUAUUAUGUAGCCAGUGAGGUUUAUCUGAGGCAUGAUUAUUACUGCUAAUUGAAAACUUUUCCCAGUACCC